Long non-coding RNA from Perognathus longimembris pacificus (Pacific pocket mouse), 214 nucleotides. RefSeq lists it as uncharacterized. The transcript is spliced from 3 exons. The record is from RefSeq and is a predicted model, not a curated record. Lineage: Eukaryota; Metazoa; Chordata; Mammalia; Rodentia; Heteromyidae.
GAAUGUGUGUGUGUGUGUGUGUGUGUGUGUGUGUGUGUGUGAAAAUGAGAGCCUCUUGUGAUCUAGGUGUGGAUGUAAUAAUGACCCAGCAAUAAAACUGUAGAACAGUUUACUAGGAUAUCUGAAUGUUGAUUUUCUUGGAUGGGCCACAAUUCUCUUCCCUGACCCUUUACUAACAAUUUAAGUUUACAGAAGUCAGAAAUGUCAGUCAGAA